Passer domesticus (house sparrow) is the source of this 691-nucleotide long non-coding RNA. RefSeq lists it as uncharacterized. The transcript has 4 exons. The record is from RefSeq and is a predicted model, not a curated record. Lineage: Eukaryota; Metazoa; Chordata; Aves; Passeriformes; Passeridae.
UCCAGGAGUCAGCAGUGCUUCCAGGAGGAAUUUCAAGGACCUGCCCCUGCAGAUGGGUGCUCCAGCUCCUGGGAACCUGUCUGCAGAGGGACAAUCCAGUUUCCCAACAGCUCUGUGCCACAGAGGCAGCAGAAUUGGCUGGGGAAUGGCCCAGAGAGCAGGGUCAAAAGAGAAUCAUCAGCAUCAAGGCUGUCAGAGCACGUGGAUGUUCCUUUUGUUCUGAGAAAAACACCCCAAACAAACACGAAAGAAGGCCAAAACAUGGAAAACAGAGGGAAUCAAUAUGAAAGGAAAGCGUUGUUCCAGCUAGGCUAUGUGCCUGGAAGCAGAGAGAGAGAGCCCAGGGGCCCGGAGGGUGGGAUAAGGAUGGAAUCAGGGUGGAAUCAAGUCCCAGCACAACUCUGACGAACAAGGACAAGACCAAGAAGAGAGAUGGACAAAGGAAGAGUUAAUCUUCAGUGCCUGAACCAACCUCAGCAGAGGGCAAGCACUGGUCAUGCACCCUGGUUAAAUUUUUCCACAUUCCCAUUUUGUUGAAGUGAAUCUAGAGAGCUGAUGAAAUGCUCUAGCAAAAAAAGCUGCCAUGGAACCUUGGCAAAAUUGUCAUUAGUUGUCAUGCUUUAUGUGCUUUUGAAGUAAUUUCCUGCUCAGACUCUAGUAUUAAAUAAAAUUAUCCUAAGCACCACCACAA